RNAcentral lists this non-coding RNA (22 nucleotides) under Arabidopsis thaliana (thale cress). Lineage: Eukaryota; Viridiplantae; Streptophyta; Magnoliopsida; Brassicales; Brassicaceae. The record is from RNAcentral.
UAACAUUGAUUUUAGGCCUGAG